GAUGAACGCUAGCGGCAGGCCUAAUACAUGCAAGUCGGACGGGAUUCAGGGCUUCGGUUCUGAUGAGAGUGGCGCACGGGUGCGUAACACGUAUGUAACCUACCCUUACCAGGGGGAUAGCCUCUCGAAAGAGAGAUUAAGCCCGCAUAACAUGUUGAUAUGGCAUCAUAUUAACAUCAAAUAUUUAUAGGAUAAGGAUGGGCAUGCGGAACAUUAGCUGGUUGGUGCGGUAACGGCGUACCAAGGCGACGAUGUUUAGGGGAUCUGAGAGGAUGAC
RNAcentral lists this ribosomal RNA (277 nucleotides) under uncultured bacterium. RNAcentral's name for it is "partial 16S ribosomal RNA". It matches the Rfam family "Bacterial small subunit ribosomal RNA", at positions 28 to 304 of the family's 1533-position model. The record is from RNAcentral.